This 210-nucleotide long non-coding RNA is filed under the name Mytilus galloprovincialis (Mediterranean mussel). The record is from RNAcentral. Lineage: Eukaryota; Metazoa; Mollusca; Bivalvia; Mytilida; Mytilidae.
UGGGACAUUUUCAUAAACUAAUUCAUACAGAUCAUGUACAGGUAAACUUUUGAUUAUGAUAAUCUCAAAAUUUACAAUGAUCACAGGUACAUGUAAUUACUCUAACGUUAUGUUAUUAUUAUUUCUUUGAUUUGAUUGUGUAAACCAUUCAUCUUUUUAAUGAUUUUCGUUACAUCAAAUAAACUGUCCGUGCCGUAAAUUGAAUUGACC